CCUAGGUGUGCUCCUCUGUCCCCUGGACCUGUCCCCCAACCUGGCUGCCUGGUGGAUCUCCUGGGGAGCUUUAUAAAACCCAAUGCCCAGGCCCACCCCGAGUCAACAUUUCCCAAGCUCCUCGGCUGACUCCAACAUUUGCCAGCACUGAGGAGCAGUGGUGAGGGCACUGCCUCGGAGUCCGACACAGGUCUGCCCCUCACCCCACCCCUCUGCUUCCUCAUCCUUGGAGACAGCCUUGCAGAAGCCUCGAGUCAGAAAUCAGCCCCCUGCUGCUGCCUUGCUCCUGGAUGCAGAGAUCGAGGUUCAGCA
Long non-coding RNA from Myotis brandtii (Brandt's bat), 312 nucleotides. RefSeq lists it as uncharacterized. The transcript has 3 exons. NCBI's taxonomy places the organism in Eukaryota, Metazoa, Chordata, Mammalia, Chiroptera, Vespertilionidae. The record is from RefSeq and is a predicted model, not a curated record.